UGACGAGUUUGAUCCUGGCUCAGAUUGAACGCUGGCGGAAUGCUUUACACAUGCAAGUCGAACGGUAGAGGGGGCAACCCCUUGAGAGUGGCGAACGGGUGAGUAAUAUAUCGGAACGUGCCCAGUCGUGGGGGAUAACGUAGUGAAAAUUACGCUAAUACCGCAUACGAUCUAAGGAUGAAAGCGGGGUACCGUAAGGCCUCGCGCGAUUGGAGCGGCCGAUAUCAGAUUAGGUAGUUGGUGAGGUAAAGGCUCACCAAGCCAACGAUCUGUAGCUGGUCUGAGAGGACGACCAGCCACACUGGAACUGAGACACGGUCCAGACU
Molecule: ribosomal RNA, 326 nt
Filed under: uncultured Limnohabitans sp.
Lineage: Bacteria; Pseudomonadati; Pseudomonadota; Betaproteobacteria; Burkholderiales; Comamonadaceae
Description: bacterial SSU rRNA
Rfam family: Bacterial small subunit ribosomal RNA
Source: RNAcentral